AUGGAUACUAGUUGGGUUCGUUUCCACUCAGCCACAAUGGGAACUCCGGUAGCCGCCCAUUUUCAGGUGGACUUGACCUCCACAGCCCAUGUGACACGGACAAAGUGAGGCUCAGGUAUAUGGAAAUGCGUGGAAUCUGCAAGGCUGGAGACACACGCCAUCCAGCCAUAGUCCAGUCUCCCUUGAGCUCCUUUAAGCUCUUUGCUAGCUGGCUCCAUUCACACUCAUGAGCGUGGGUGCCCACAGAGCCUGGAAGUCAUAUUAUGCCUCUUUUAUAGGUUAAUAAACGGAGCCUGAAGAGGUUAAGAGGUUUCCCCAAGGUCGCCCAGCUGCCAGGCAGGCACCAGACUGACCAUGUGUUGUGACAGGCGCUGGAGUGGUGGCUGGUGAUUUCGGGUGUUAGGCAGAGGCCCCUUAUGGGCUGGAAACGCGGUGGGGCUGGGCUGGCCCCGGCUGCCCCUGCAUUGCUCUCAAGUCCUUGCUUUCUCCCUAAUGCACGCACCUCAUUUGAGCUAUUCUGCUCCACUGCACACACCCAGAGGGCCGUGACUAAUGCUGCUGGAGCUGGUACCUCUGGGGAAAGAAAAGAACGAGCUUUGGGGGAAGACGGGCCGCAUCAGCUGGAAAUAAAGAACUGGUUUGUGUGGCUGUGGAGGCUGGCACGUCCAAAAUCGGUUAGACCGGCAGGCUGGAGACCCAGGAAGAGGCGACGUUGAAGUUCAGGUGAAAUAACACAACGUUUGGGAUUUCCUUGGAAGUUACUCCAGCAAAAGGAAAGGUGAGGAUAGUGAAACCACUGCGGCCAAAUGCUCAUGCGUGGUGAGUAUGGGUGAUGCGCACGGGCCCACGGCCCUUCUACCGUCGCGUGUGUUCAGAAACUUUCAUCGAUAAACAUUAAAAUAAGUAGAUCCAUUAAGUAUUAAAAUUUAAAGUUUACAUGUGCAUAUAGAUAUAAAUAUAAAUAAAUCUAUUAAAAUAUUGUUCUGAUUUUCCUUAUCAAAAAUCUUAUAUAGUUUGAAUUUGUGUCGGUAAAAUUGCAUUGGUUGAAAUUCGUUUAGGCGUCAUUCAAGUGCGCUUUAUAGUUUCUUUUCUCCAAGACUAAGGUCACACGCUGCCUAGUUUGUUACCUUGAUAAACCCCAGUGUUCUCUUUACAUCCCCAUCUGCCCACUAGGAUGUAGAUUUCAUUGGGCAAACUAUUUCUUUGUUCGCUGAUGAACCCAGCACAGAAGAAGGUCCGAGAGAAGAAAAACUCACUGUAACAUAACAGGUGGACCUUCCCAGCCAUUAGACCACUAGGGGCUAGAAGCUGGCAGUAAGGGCUCUGGCUCUUUUUCUGCUUUGAAGAAAGAAUUCAAAAAUAGUGAGUAAAGUGUUUGUUAGGAGAGAAGGCUGAGAAAGAGGGAGAG
Sus scrofa (pig) is the source of this 1408-nucleotide non-coding RNA. NCBI's taxonomy places the organism in Eukaryota, Metazoa, Chordata, Mammalia, Artiodactyla, Suidae. The record is from RefSeq and is a predicted model, not a curated record.